This 101-nucleotide microRNA precursor is filed under the name Saimiri boliviensis boliviensis (Bolivian squirrel monkey). RNAcentral's name for it is "miRNA (ENSSBOG00000009079.1)". It matches the Rfam family "mir-1282 microRNA precursor family". Lineage: Eukaryota; Metazoa; Chordata; Mammalia; Primates; Cebidae. The record is from Rfam by way of RNAcentral.
CCUUCUUCUGGUUUGCCUUUUUCUGCUUCUGCUGCAUGAUCUCCGAGUCCCUGGGGGUAGAGAUGAUGGGGCGCUGGGAGGCACCAGAGGGCAAAAGGGAC